Molecule: ribosomal RNA, 253 nt
Filed under: uncultured bacterium
Lineage: Bacteria
Description: partial 16S ribosomal RNA
Rfam family: Bacterial small subunit ribosomal RNA
Source: RNAcentral
UACGGAGGGUGCAAGCGUUAUUCGGAAUUACUGGGCGUAAAGCGCGUGUAGGCGGGGGUACAAGUCUGAUGUGAAAGCCCUGGGCUUAACCUGGGAAGUGCAUUGGAAACGGUAUCUCUUGAGUACUGGAGAGGAAGGGGGAAUUCCCGGUGUAGAGGUGAAAUUCGUAGAGAUCGGGAGGAAUACCAGUGGCGUAGGCGCCUUUCUGGACGGUUACUGACGCUGAGACGCGAAAGCGUGGGGAGCAAACAGG